Zonotrichia leucophrys gambelii is the source of this 482-nucleotide long non-coding RNA. RefSeq lists it as uncharacterized. The transcript is spliced from 3 exons. The record is from RefSeq and is a predicted model, not a curated record. NCBI's taxonomy places the organism in Eukaryota, Metazoa, Chordata, Aves, Passeriformes, Passerellidae.
GAGUCAGUGCUGCAAGGAGUUGCCCAUGAGAAAUCACUGAGAAGUCUUUGAUGGAAGAUGUAAUUCUCUACAUGGAAACUGGGAAGAGGAUUUUGCUGGCCCUGACUUUAUCAGUGACUUCUGCAGCUGGCUGAAGGCAGGAUUUGCACAAAGCUGAACUACAUUUUAAUACUUGCUGUCACUUUUGGAAAACCUCAAAAUUGUGACUUUUUCCCAAAGUAACUAGAGACAUAAAAAUCGUCGAAGGAAACAGUUAAUAGAGUGCAGGGCAAUCGAAGGGCUUUGGCUCCUACUGCAAAAUAUUAACAGCUGUAAUUUGACCUCUUAGCCAAUUAAUUUUGGCCAGUGUAAAAUUCCAUACACUAAAUCUGUUUACGAUACUUCACUAUUCUAGGCAUCUGAUACUGUGCCAAGACCUUAAUAUGUCUCUGAACAGAGGUCAAGUCAUGGCCUUAAAAUGAAGACUUGAAAUAUAAGCUGUG